RNAcentral lists this ribosomal RNA (564 nucleotides) under Streptomyces sp. 384D06. RNAcentral's name for it is "bacterial SSU rRNA". It matches the Rfam family "Bacterial small subunit ribosomal RNA", at positions 93 to 671 of the family's 1533-position model. RNAcentral also lists the same sequence under 26 other names. The record is from RNAcentral. Lineage: Bacteria; Bacillati; Actinomycetota; Actinomycetes; Kitasatosporales; Streptomycetaceae.
UAGUGGCGAACGGGUGAGUAACACGUGGGCAAUCUGCCCUUCACUCUGGGACAAGCCCUGGAAACGGGGUCUAAUACCGGAUAUGAGCCUGGGAGGCAUCUCCCGGGUUGUAAAGCUCCGGCGGUGAAGGAUGAGCCCGCGGCCUAUCAGCUUGUUGGUGAGGUAAUGGCUCACCAAGGCGACGACGGGUAGCCGGCCUGAGAGGGCGACCGGCCACACUGGGACUGAGACACGGCCCAGACUCCUACGGGAGGCAGCAGUGGGGAAUAUUGCACAAUGGGCGAAAGCCUGAUGCAGCGACGCCGCGUGAGGGAUGACGGCCUUCGGGUUGUAAACCUCUUUCAGCAGGGAAGAAGCGAAAGUGACGGUACCUGCAGAAGAAGCGCCGGCUAACUACGUGCCAGCAGCCGCGGUAAUACGUAGGGCGCAAGCGUUGUCCGGAAUUAUUGGGCGUAAAGAGCUCGUAGGCGGCUUGUCACGUCGAUUGUGAAAGCCCGAGGCUUAACCUCGGGUCUGCAGUCGAUACGGGCUAGCUAGAGUGUGGUAGGGGAGAUCGGAAUUCCU